Molecule: ribosomal RNA, 494 nt
Filed under: uncultured bacterium
Lineage: Bacteria
Description: bacterial SSU rRNA
Rfam family: Bacterial small subunit ribosomal RNA
Source: RNAcentral
UCAGGAUGAACGCUGGCGGCGUGCCUAACACAUGCAAGUCGAACGAAGCACUUAGACAGAUCCUUCGGGUGACGUAUUGGUGACUGAGUGGCGGACGGGUGAGUAACGCGUGGGUAACCUGCCCUGUACAGGGGGAUAACAGUUAGAAAUGACUGCUAAUACCGCAUAAGCGCACGAUGGUAGCAUUACCAGGUGUGAAAAACUCCGGUGGUACAGGAUGGGCCCGCGUCUGAUUAGCUUGUUGGCGGGGUAAGAGCCCACCAAGGCGACGAUCAGUAGCCGGUCUGAGAGGAUGAACGGCCACAUUGGAACUGAGACACGGUCCAAACUCCUACGGGAGGCAGCAGUGGGGAAUAUUGCACAAUGGGGGGAACCCUGAUGCAGCCAACGCCGCGUGAGUGAAGAAGUAUUUCGGUAUGUAAAGCUCUAUCAGCAGGGAAGAUAAUGACGGUACCUGACUAAGAAGCUCCGGCUAAAUACGUGCCAGCCGCCGC